This is a long non-coding RNA of Nothoprocta perdicaria, 308 nucleotides long. RefSeq lists it as uncharacterized. The record is from RefSeq and is a predicted model, not a curated record. The transcript has 4 exons. Lineage: Eukaryota; Metazoa; Chordata; Aves; Tinamiformes; Tinamidae.
UUUCUGCUUUCUUCUGAUAUCUCAGAACCUGAGACUGAAUCUGUAUGGAAGGAUGCAAGAUACAACAAAGAAGAAAAUCCAGUGCUUUGCUGAAGACUGAAUUCCUUUUAGAGCAUUCUGAGAUCCUGCUAUUAUUAUGGCUGAUAUUUUAUCUUCAGGACUAAACUAUCCUCUGGGAAUCAUAAUCGAAAUCUCUACAGAGUCUCGCCCUCAAUUCUGCAUAUGGAAGAAAAAUCAUAGUGCUGUUUGUCCUUGUUACCUGAACUUGGAAUAAUGACAGUACCCUGAACUAUUUCUGGCAACCUGAA